This 465-nucleotide ribosomal RNA is filed under the name Vreelandella stevensii. RNAcentral describes it as "partial 16S ribosomal RNA". It matches the Rfam family "Bacterial small subunit ribosomal RNA", at positions 338 to 795 of the family's 1533-position model. Lineage: Bacteria; Pseudomonadati; Pseudomonadota; Gammaproteobacteria; Oceanospirillales; Halomonadaceae. The record is from RNAcentral.
CCUACGGGUGGCAGCAGUGGGGAAUAUUGGACAAUGGGGGGAACCCUGAUCCAGCCAUGCCGCGUGUGUGAAGAAGGCCCUCGGGUUGUAAAGCACUUUCAGUGAGGAAGAACGCCUGGUGGUUAAUACCCAUCAGGAAAGACAUCACUCACAGAAGAAGCACCGGCUAACUCCGUGCCAGCAGCCGCGGUAAUACGGAGGGUGCGAGCGUUAAUCGGAAUUACUGGGCGUAAAGCGCGCGUAGGUGGCUUGAUAAGCCGGUUGUGAAAGCCCCGGGCUCAACCUGGGAACGGCAUCCGGAACUGUCAAGCUAGAGUGCAGGAGAGGAUGGUAGAAUUCCCGGUGUAGCGGUGAAAUGCGUAGAGAUCGGGAGGAAUACCAGUGGCGAAGGCGGCCUUCUGGACUGACACUGACACUGAGGUGCGAAAGCGUGGGUAGCAAACAGGAUUAGAUACCCCUGUAGUC